GGCUCUGUAGCUCAGUUGGUAGAGCAGCGGACUGAAAAUCCGCGUGUCAACGGUUCAAUUCCGCUCGGAGCCA
This 73-nucleotide transfer RNA is filed under the name Fibrobacteres bacterium CG2_30_45_31. RNAcentral describes it as "tRNA-Phe". It matches the Rfam family "tRNA". Rfam says of the family: Transfer RNA (tRNA) molecules are approximately 80 nucleotides in length. RNAcentral also lists the same sequence under 1 other name. The record is from RNAcentral. Lineage: Bacteria; Pseudomonadati; Fibrobacterota.